RNAcentral lists this ribosomal RNA (491 nucleotides) under uncultured bacterium. RNAcentral's name for it is "partial 16S ribosomal RNA". It matches the Rfam family "Bacterial small subunit ribosomal RNA", at positions 29 to 507 of the family's 1533-position model. The record is from RNAcentral.
GUGAACGCUGGCGGUAGGCCUAACACAUGCAAGUCGAACGGCAGCACAGUAAGAGCUUGCUCUUACGGGUGGCGAGUGGCGGACGGGUGAGGAAUACAUCGGAAUCUACUUUUUCGUGGGGGAUAACGUAGGGAAACUUACGCUAAUACCGCAUACGACCUACGGGUGAAAGCAGGGGAUCUUCGGACCUUGCGCGAUUGAAUGAGCCGAUGUCGGAUUAGCUAGUUGGCGGGGUAAAGGCCCACCAAGGCGACGAUCCGUAGCUGGUCUGAGAGGAUGAUCAGCCACACUGGAACUGAGACACGGUCCAGACUCCUACGGGAGGCAGCAGUGGGGAAUAUUGGACAAUGGGGGCAAGCCUGAUCCAGCCAUACCGCGUGGGUGAAGAAGGCCUUCGGGUUGUAAAGCCCUUUUGUUGGGAAAGAAAAGCAGCAGGUUAAUACCCCGCUGUUCUGACGGUACCCAAAGAAUAAGCACCGGCUAACUUCGUG